Long non-coding RNA from Lotus japonicus, 3273 nucleotides. RefSeq lists it as uncharacterized. The record is from RefSeq and is a predicted model, not a curated record. NCBI's taxonomy places the organism in Eukaryota, Viridiplantae, Streptophyta, Magnoliopsida, Fabales, Fabaceae. The transcript is spliced from 4 exons.
UUCAAUUCUUAAUCCACCUCUUCCAGUUUUUCCUCACUGACCCCCUCCCUUCCCUUCCGCGAUCGUCUUUCUCUCAACCCACCGUCCCUGACUGCCAUCGCCGCUUCUCCAUUUCGUGAGUGACCUCCUUUCAGUCUGCGCCCCUGGAAGAUCAAAGGCUACGGGUUUCUUUUUUGCCGAUACCACUCCAUCCAUGCUCUGUGGCUACCGAUGUCGAUAGCAUCGCUGAUUUGAACGCCUCCAAGGAGGAUUUCUAACAGCAGGUUCAGUUCUCUCGGAAGCGUUACUUCGUCAUCGACGACCACCUCCUCAGCAGCUCCAAAUCCGUUCCUGGUUCUGGCGACCAGGUUUUACAAUGACUAGAAGAAGAAGGAGUAAGAUGCAGCACAUGAGAGACAUUGUGAAUGCCGUCGACACCAUAUUCUUCAAUCUAGCUGAUGCUUCUUCCAGUAUUUAUUAAAUUCAGCAAGAGAGGUUGGGGAAGGAAGCCGAUUUCUGAAGCGUGUGUUCUCUCGCCUGCAAUAUUUCACACAUAUACCAGGAACCAUUUUUGUUUUCAUGGUGCAGCCUCAGAUUACAACAACUGCUAUGAAGUUCACAUCCAACCCUACUAUUGCUUAUUGCAGGACCUUGCCUAAAGUUCAUUUGCUAUGAAUUCUCGAACUAUAAUAUUGAGGUGAGUUAUGAAGAACUAUAUCUAGAACUAAAUCCUAUUCUGUUCUUGUGCCAAUUUUUAAGUACUUUUGACCUGUGAUGUUUUUUCUCUAUUUAAUUCUCUGUUUGUUUGCUGAUCAAAAUCUAACUCUCAAUGUUUGUCAAUAAUGCAUGCUUAGUCUAUCAUAACAUCAUAUCUGAUGCUACAGAUAGAGUUUUGCACGAGAUUUCAAAGAGCUUUUGAUAAGAUGUAUUUGUUGUCUCUCCAGAUAAUUUAUCCUAAUAAUUGUUUUUAAGUAUGAGUAGUUAAAGUGAAUCAGUAGAGAUUCUUUUUUCCUAAGAUUGAUAUUUGUGAUGGAAACUACCUUUAUUCUCAUAGUUGAUUGUAUCAGUUUGAGGUCCUUGGGAGGAGACGAUAGUUGUUGCAGGUUCAUCAAGGUUCAUGCUUUCCCUGUUAACUUUCUUACCCUUUUGCAAUCCUUUUCAUCUCACUUUAUUUCUGCAUUGGUUCUUUUUAGUUCUAAAUCAAUAUAAGUCUUUGAGAAUGUCAACGAGAGAUUGAAGUGAGCGAAUAUUUGACAUGUCACAUUUUGGUUCUAUUCUACAAUCACUAUGCCAGCGGAGUAAGAAAACUAUAGGGAAUGUUGUUUGGAAUCUGUUUUGGGUGGUUUAAAGGGCACUGAGCCAAUACUUAUUGUGAUUGCUUUUAACAUUGAACAAGCAACUAUCCCUUAACUUUUCAUUUACCUAAAGAAAUUUAAAUAAUCUCUUCAGUUUGCGAUAUAGUGAGAGAAAGCAUUACCCUUCUCAAAAACUAAUUUAUAAACCACCAAAAUUCAAAAUGAGCAAAACUCAUCUCUUAAUGCUCCUACCUUGUGUACAUUUCAGAUUAGCUUCCUCUGGAAAAUCAAUCAAAAUUCAAAUGCUUCAAGCUUCUGAAGCUUGCUACCAAACUAUGUCCAUAAGUAACUAUGGUACAAAAUCUACAUCAUGUUAUCCUUGCUAAAUAUAGGACUUUAGCGGUCACAACAUCAACCAAAUUGAUCGUAGAAACUCUGUAUACGAUAUAAUGUUGAAUUGUAUCCAAACUCACAGAAGGUUUUCCAGUAGAAGUCACUUGAAUGUAACACGCUCAACCUAAUAAUUUACAAUACCUUGGUAAUGGAAAUUGGUAAUCUUCUGUAUAAUGAAGACAUUCUCUUUGCCAUUACGCUUAACGACAUUCUUUUUUCUUUUUCAUAUGCCAGUUGUUUAUAACUUCUCUCCACAUUUCUAUUGAUGGUAUCUCAUAUAUUGCAUUCAGUGUGUGUGUUGAUAGUCGUUUUGAGGAACUUGGGUGGCAUGUCUUUGGGCAAUAAAUGGUUACACUAGCUAUGAUGAUAGUCAUGCUACCAUUAAGGAGCAAAAGCUGUCAGAGACAAACCCACACCAUUUAAUUUUUGGCAUCCAAUCAGAACUAGCAGAAUCUGUCAUUCUUGUGGCACUGAUGUGUUUAGAGACUCUUCUUUCCUUCAAAAACUAAAAUUUGAUCUUUUAAACAUCAAGAUGCAUCUUCCUAAAUUUAUAGAAUGCAGCUUUGUGAGAUGAAUAAGGUCUGAGGAAUGAGGGAUUGGGAUUGAGCAGGCUUCUAAGUGGAAGUGUGCUAUUUUUUAUCAGCAUGUAAGUAAUUAAAAAAGAAAUUAAGAAACCCAAAGACUACUAAACUAUCAAGUGAUGGCUCAAUGGUCUCACCUGGUGUAUUAAAGUUGUUCAAUUUUAUCUUUAAUUCAAUGCUAUGAUGAGUUCUAAUUGUUUUGAAGCUCUUGACCAUUGAUUCAAUGAAUAAUGGAUUAGUGACCUUUUUCAAUGUACAUGCUCAGUUGCUCUAUGACUGUACUCUGUAGAAGAAAAUUGAUUGUUGUCAUGAGGGUCCAAAUUAACAUUAAGUUUAUUUAAGUUUCUCACAGCCAUUUUUUCAACCACUGUGCCACAAGAAAGAAGACACACUUCUCUAUUUUUUUACUUUUAUUUUGCUUCACAUAAUUGCUAAAGGGGAUCCAUCAGAUUCUAUUUAUAUGGAAGUAGAGCUGGAAAGGUUGUCAUAUAAUAACCAAACUUUCUCACAAUGCAAUGAGUCUGGAAGGUGGACAAACCUUGACCCCUGAGUCUAGGGAACAUCUCAUAUAUAUUGAGGUUUUAUGAUUAAACUUUCUAUUUAUACUCAUUGUUAUGAAUAAAAUUUACAUUUGUUUGUUGAAAACAUGAGAUAGCUUAAAAGAGAGGCAGAUAUUGAGCACACAAAUGCAGAAGAGGAAAUCGAAAUCUGGUAGAAUGAACCUAUAUUCGAGAUGGUGCCUUCCUUUGAGCUUGAAGCAAAGGAGUUUACAACUCAACUGGCUCAUCGCCUAUGGACUGACAUAGAGGACAUGGAACACUUUACAAAGAGUGGAACUUUUAAGGAGAUAUUUGGACUCAACUUUGCCCUACAAUUUUCAAGUAGGAAAUCAUUUUGUUGACAGCCAGCGCGUGGCAUCUUUUAUGAGUUUUAAUGUAGUUUGAUAUGGCCAUGUAAAAAUUUCCCAGCUCUAUGUAUAACAUAGUGAAUUCUUUUUUCUGAAACUAUAGAAACAAUUUGAUUUA